GAACGCUAGCGACAGGCCUAACACAUGCAAGUCGAGGGGCAGCACGAGUAAGCUUGCUUACUUUGGUGGCGACCGGCGCACGGGUGCGUAACAGGUGUGCAAUCUGUCCAUAAUCGGGGAAUAGCCCAGCGAAAGUUGGAUUAAUGCUCCAUGUGAGUUUUAGAGGCAUCUCUUUAAUUUGAAACGUAAGGAUUAUGGGUGAGCACGCUUCUGAUUAGGUAGUUGGUGAGGUAACGGCUCACCAAGCCGACGAUCAGUAGGGGUUCUGAGAGGAAGGUCCCCCACAUUGGAACUGAGACACGGUCCAAACUCCUACGGGAGGCAGCAGUGAGGAAUAUUGGUCAAUGGGCGAAAGCCUGAACCAGCCAAGUCGCGUGAAGGAUGAAGGUUCUAUGGAUUGUAAACUUCUUUUAUUCGAGGGUAAAACAGCGGACGUGUCCGCUCUUGCAAGUAUCGAAUGAAUAAGCAUCGGCUAACUCCGUG
Molecule: ribosomal RNA, 483 nt
Filed under: uncultured bacterium
Lineage: Bacteria
Description: bacterial SSU rRNA
Rfam family: Bacterial small subunit ribosomal RNA
Source: RNAcentral